GCUCUGAUAGCUCAGUUCGGUAGAGCACCUGACUUUUAAUCAGGAUGUCAUAGGUUCAAAUCCUAUUCGGAACA
Molecule: transfer RNA, 74 nt
Filed under: Caudoviricetes sp.
Lineage: Duplodnaviria; Heunggongvirae; Uroviricota; Caudoviricetes
Description: tRNA-Lys
Rfam family: tRNA
About the family: Transfer RNA (tRNA) molecules are approximately 80 nucleotides in length. Their secondary structure includes four short double-helical elements and three loops (D, anti-codon, and T loops).
Source: RNAcentral